UAGGGAAUCUUCGGCAAUGGGGGCAACCCUGACCGAGCAACGCCGCGUGAGUGAAGAAGGUUUUCGGAUCGUAAAGCUCUGUUGUAAGUCAAGAACGAGUGUGAGAGUGGAAAGUUCACACUGUGACGGUAGCUUACCAGAAAGGGACGGCUAACUACGUGCCAGCAGCCGCGGUAAUACGUAGGUCCCGAGCGUUGUCCGGAUUUAUUGGGCGUAAAGCGAGCGCAGGCGGUUUGAUAAGUCUGAAGUUAAAGGCUGUGGCUCAACCAUAGUUCGCUUUGGAAACUGUCAAACUUGAGUGCAGAAGGGGAGAGUGGAAUUCCAUGUGUAGCGGUGAAAUGCGUAGAUAUAUGGAGGAACACCGGUGGCGAAAGCGGCUCUCUGGUCUGUAACUGACGCUGAGGCUCGAAAGCGUGGGGAGCGAACAGGAUUAGAUACCCUGGUAGUCCACGCCGUAACGAUGAGUGCUAGGUGUUGGGUCCUUUCCGGGACUCAGUGCCGCAGCUAACGCAUUAGGCACUCCGCCUGGGGAGUACGACCGCAAGGUUG
RNAcentral lists this ribosomal RNA (549 nucleotides) under uncultured bacterium. Its description in RNAcentral is "bacterial SSU rRNA". It matches the Rfam family "Bacterial small subunit ribosomal RNA", at positions 355 to 896 of the family's 1533-position model. The record is from RNAcentral.